GACGAGCGCUGGCGGCGUGCUUAACACAUGCAAGUCGAACGGAAAGGCCCUGCUUGCAGGGUACUCGAGUGGCGAACGGGUGAGUAACACGUGGGUGAUCUGCCCUGCACUUCGGGAUAAGCCUGGGAAACUGGGUCUAAUACCGGAUAGGAGCCAUUUUUAGUGUGAUGGUUGGAAAGUUUUUUCGGUGUAGGAUGAGCUCGCGGCCUAUCAGCUUGUUGGUGGGGUAAUGGCCUACCAAGGCGGCGACGGGUAGCCGGCCUGAGAGGGUGGACGGCCACAUUGGGACUGAGAUACGGCCCAGACUCCUACGGGAGGCAGCAGUGGGGAAUAUUGCACAAUGGGCGCAAGCCUGAUGCAGCGACGCCGCGUGGGGGAUGACGGCCUUCGGGUUGUAAACUCCUUUCGCUAGGGACGAAGCUUUUUGUGACGGUACCUAGAUAAGAAGCACCGGCUAACUACGG
This 464-nucleotide ribosomal RNA is filed under the name uncultured bacterium. Its description in RNAcentral is "partial 16S ribosomal RNA". It matches the Rfam family "Bacterial small subunit ribosomal RNA", at positions 28 to 506 of the family's 1533-position model. The record is from RNAcentral.